This 486-nucleotide ribosomal RNA is filed under the name uncultured bacterium. RNAcentral describes it as "bacterial SSU rRNA". It matches the Rfam family "Bacterial small subunit ribosomal RNA", at positions 28 to 507 of the family's 1533-position model. The record is from RNAcentral.
GAUAAACGCUGGCGGCGUGCCUAAUACAUGCAAGUCGAACGCUGGAGACCGACUUCGGUUGGUCGAAGGAGUGGCGAACGGGUGAGUAAUACAUAAGCAACCUGCCCACGAAGACCGGGAUAAUCCCUGGAAACGGGGACUAAUACCGGAUAGGCAUUUGAGAGGCAUCUCUUAAAUGUUAAAGAUUAAAAGCACUGGUGGAUGGGCUUAUGGCGCAUUAGCUUGUUGGUGAGGUAACGGCCCACCAAGGCGAUGAUGCGUAGCCGGCCUGAGAGGGUGAACGGCCACAUUGGGACUGAGACACGGCCCAGACUCCUACGGGAGGCAGCAGUAGGGAAUUUUCGGCAAUGGGGGAAACCCUGACCGAGCAACGCCGCGUGAGUGAAGACGGCCUUCGGGUUGUAAAGCUCUGUUGUAAGGGAAGAACGGUACGGAGAGAAUCUGUAAGUGACGGUACCUUACCAGAAAGCCACGGCUAACUACGUG